UUCAUCCUCUUCUCUCUUUUUCUAGUUCUCUUCCUCUCCCUCACGCUUCUCCCCAGCGCCGCCGCUCACACUGCCGCUCCUCCUCACGCCGGCCGCUGCUCCCUGCCUCCGGCAGCCGCCCCGCAGCCGCUGCCGGCCUGAAUCGGUUCCGUGGCUCCUCAUGAGUCUACCCCCCAAGCUAACCGUAGCCAUCAACCCCUCACCAGUCUCCAAUCGAUUCUGCUGCUGGCUACUGCUCUCAAUGACUGAGAUUGAAAUUUCCCAACCCCAGCGCCCCUGAUUCAAGCGUGGCUCAGACCAGCCGUCUCUCCCUCCCCGAGCUCCUCCUCUCUGAUCCCCUUCUAUCCCUACUUCUGUGACGUGAUCUGAUUGGUUGUUCUCUUAGGUGGUAAUCUACGAUGAAUUUUUAUACUUGUGAACAGGUUCUAAUAACCAACUGGAUGGUGCUAUUCCUGCUAUCUGUAGGUUCUAUAUUAUUUGAUUUGCUAUAAUUGGAUGAUGACUAUAUGCUAUGGAUGAAUGAGUGAAUGCAUGCUCAAAUGAAUCAAGUAUGCGCAUUUUUUUUAGUACUGAUAUUGAAAUCACAAAAACAGGAUUGGUCCUUUUUUAUUCUUAUGCAAUGGUAAUCAAGAUACUGAAUUUUCUACAUGCCACUAUACUAGCACAAUCAGAUCCUUAUAUCCUUAUGCUGAGUAGUAAUUCAGAGAAUUAAUUUGAAUUCCUGCAUACCAAAUGCAUCAUAGUAAUAUGACUAAAAUGAUCACAUGACCUAAAAACUAUGCAUCUUGAUUUUGUUGUCAAAUAUACUGACUACUAAAAUAACUGGUAAUUAAUUGUGUUCUAUGUUAUUGGUCUUAGCAAAGUUAUGCUGAUCAACUACUAAGGUUCAGAUCCUAAUGUUAUGCUCUUCUAGGACUUAUGAUUAGGACUCAUAGAUUUCUGUUUAUGGAUCUACAUUUAUACUAAAGAUGUACUUGUACACUUGCUAUUCAUCCAAUCCUACAGAUUCGGUAUUACUAUAUGAAGAACUAAAUACAUUGGUGAGUUUUGAGACUGCUAGUCUGCUAGUAUUUCUCACUGUGGCAUACGAUUUAUAUUGAUUAAUACUUACAGAACUAAUGUAUGUCAUGCUUUAAUCUAGAAUCAUAUGCUCUAGAUGCUCUGCUAUAGAGACUUAUAACCCUACUCAUUAAUUCUAACUAUUUAUAAUUUCAGGAUUCACCAAAGAGAUGCAUGUGCAGCUGUUUACCUAAAUGCAUUUACGUAAUAAUUCUAGACAAACUAAAAUGUUUCUUGUUACUAACCCCAAAUAAUUAUAAACUAGAAUUAACCUAUAUUUACUUUUCAGUUAAAUAAAAAUAUUUAUGUCCUACUAGUUGCACUUCCUACUCUGCAGCUCAAAUUACUUAAUAUUCUUGUUCAUCUUCUAAUGGAUGCAAAUGCAACUCACAACUCCUACACAUACUAGUAUAUGCAUCACUCAAGAAUCAUGUCAUGAUAUGAUUGUACUUUCAGUUUAAUCUCUUGAUUACCUGCCAUGAUUUUAGGUGACAAUUAUAUGGUUCCCUUCUCUGGUUCUGCAGCUACUCUUCUGGACUCUGAUUCAAUGGUUCUCCCGAUGGAACUGUGAUUUCUCCUCUUUGAGCUGAAGCACCACCUGCUCCUCCAGAAACUGAAACCCCUCUCUUCUUGAAGCUCAGGUACCUCCUACUUGAUUUGCACCCUUGCUACCGAUUUCUUUGAUUUCUUGUUCUUGCUGAUUUUACCUCCUGAUCCAAUUUACAACAGUUGCCUCUUCUCUUCCUUUCUUCUUGUCCUGCUUCUGCUGUUACUGAUCCAUCUUGUUUCUUGAGCUGGAGUGCCAUCUCCUCCUAGAGCUAAAAUCCCUGUUCAUGCAGGACUGAACACCUCUACUUCAUCCAAGAACUAAAUACCUUUGCUUCUCCUUCUUCAGAUUUGGUUUCUCUCUCUCUCUUUCUUGUUGUUUCCCUGUGGAUAAUAGGAAUGAGAUACGGUGUAAUUGUGUUGCUGGCUACUAAGCUACUGCUCUGCUAUUUUUCUCUGUUUUGAGCUGGUUUUACAACCGAACUGCUGGCUGCUACUACUGCUGCGGCUGAGGAUGCUGCUUGGGGUUGUUUUCCAGCCGAUGCAACCGAGACUGAUUCACAGAUAGCUGGUUAAUAUAUGUGUGAAUUUUUUUUGUGAAGGCUGGGUGACUCACCUACUUUAGUUUUGGUGGUUGUUUCACUGACUGACACCUAAGCAGUGUUUGAUCGGUGGUGUAAUGUGGGAUUUCACUAAAUUUUUCUAUUUAGAUAAAUUCUGAUACAAUUAGGUACUUUUGCACUUGAGUCCCUCGGGGUCUCUAAAAUUGAAGGUUACUCUGAGAUUAGGGACUAAUUUAUAAUUGUUCUAGAACUCAUAGUCAUUUUUGCAAGGUUACCAAUUCUCCAUAUAUUUUUGGUAGAUAAAUUUAUGCUUCUAUAUGAUGUAGCCGUGCAUCUAUUUGCUUGCUGGGAUUAAAAUGAUUUGCUCUAGUUUUAUUUUCAAUUUCACAAUUCCUCUAUUGAUUUGUAUAUAAUAGUUAUGAGUUGAGUAUGUUACAGGGCAUAUGCAAAACAUAAUAUGGAUGUAUGCAUGCAUGUAUGCAGAUAUGUGUAUCUCUCGCUGACUACUAAUGUGCG
RNAcentral lists this long non-coding RNA (2684 nucleotides) under Oryza sativa (Asian cultivated rice). Its description in RNAcentral is "long non-coding RNA (OSAT_LNC001810)". The record is from RNAcentral. Lineage: Eukaryota; Viridiplantae; Streptophyta; Magnoliopsida; Poales; Poaceae.